AUGGUUACCACAUAAUUCAUCUCUUUAACCUUGAAUGCUCUAAAAUGAUCUAGGAUUAAACUGUCAAUCUUGAAGGAUCAUCCACAUUGUAUUCCAAUCUUUCAAAUUCAUCACAUAGAUUAUCCUAGUCAAGAUUUUAUUAAAUUAAAAUACAGAGAUGCAUCGGCUCCUAUAAUCUGGAGGGGUCAAUUCCAUCUUGAUCCAUGCACAGACUUCGUAAGUAUGUGGCUAUACCCAG
This 238-nucleotide long non-coding RNA is filed under the name Elaeis guineensis (African oil palm). RNAcentral's name for it is "long non-coding RNA (EGUI_LNC054820)". Lineage: Eukaryota; Viridiplantae; Streptophyta; Magnoliopsida; Arecales; Arecaceae. The record is from RNAcentral.